This 254-nucleotide ribosomal RNA is filed under the name uncultured bacterium. RNAcentral describes it as "partial 16S ribosomal RNA". It matches the Rfam family "Bacterial small subunit ribosomal RNA", at positions 524 to 776 of the family's 1533-position model. The record is from RNAcentral.
UACGUAGGUGGCAAGCGUUGUCCGGAUUUAUUGGGCGUAAAGAGCUCGUAGGCGGUUGGGCAAGUCACGUGUGAAAUCUCCACGCUCAACGUGGAGGCGCCACGUGAGACUGCCCUGACUCGAGUCCGGUAGGGGAGCGUGGAAUUCCCGGUGUAGCGGUGAAAUGCGCAGAGAUCGGGAGGAACACCCGUAGCGAAGGCGGCGCUCUGGGCCGGUACUGACGCUGAGGAGCGAAAGCGUGGGGAGCAAACAGG